RNAcentral lists this ribosomal RNA (462 nucleotides) under uncultured bacterium. Its description in RNAcentral is "bacterial SSU rRNA". It matches the Rfam family "Bacterial small subunit ribosomal RNA", at positions 29 to 480 of the family's 1533-position model. The record is from RNAcentral.
AUUGAACGCUGGCGGCAUGCCUAACACAUGCAAGUCGAACGGCAGCACAGCAGUAGCAAUACUGUGGGUGGCGAGUGGCGGACGGGUGAGGAAUACGUCGGAAUCUGCCCAGUCGUGGGGGAUAACUAGCCGAAAGGUUAGCUAAUACCGCAUACGACCGAGAGGUGAAAGCGGGGGGACCGCAAGGCCUCGCGCGAUUGGAUGAGCCGACGUCGGAUUAGCUAGUUGGCGGGGUAAAGGCCCACCAAGGCGACGAUCCGUAGCUGGUCUGAGAGGAUGAUCAGCCACACUGGAACUGAGACGCGGUCCAGACUCCUACGGGAGGCAGCAGUGGGGAAUAUUGGACAAUGGGCGCAAGCCUGAUCCAGCAAUGCCGCGUGUGUGAAGAAGGCCUCGGGUUGUAAGCGACUUUAUCAGGACGAAAGACGUUGGAUUAAUACUACUGACGUGCUGACGGUACCU